Molecule: long non-coding RNA, 554 nt
Filed under: Capsicum annuum
Lineage: Eukaryota; Viridiplantae; Streptophyta; Magnoliopsida; Solanales; Solanaceae
Description: long non-coding RNA (CANN_LNC003790)
Source: RNAcentral
GGGUACGCUUUGGGCCCCAUCGUCACAUGCGUUAUUAAUUUUCUUUCACACUUAUUUUGACGCGUGCUUCAACAGUUUUUCUUUCUUUUUAGAAAGUAGUGAUAAAGGAAGCACUCAGACUGACUCUGACUUUUACAAGACAUAAAGUGGGCAUCCCCACUUGACCAUACUAGCUAAUAAUACAAAACUAUGACAACUGUAGAGUAUCUUUACAACUGUAGAGUAUUUUUACGUAUCCAAGUUGUGCAGGGCUAUGGAGUCGAAGCUCAUGCCUGAGUCGUCGUCUAGCGCGCCAGGUAGGGGUCGAACCUACACACUCUAUUUUGGACUGCUUCGCGUGCCAGUACUUUUGUGACCCCCCCCCCUCCUUCCAGGUUCUAAGGCACAGUUUAGGGGUCUAGCUACUCAGUAGACAUUUUCAGAUUGCAGAUUGGAUCUUACAGUGGUGAGCCUUCUAUUAUUCAGAAGGCCUGGUCAUGUCAGAUUUUAUUAGUUGUUAUCUUUUGGUCUACUGGGGACUUGUCCUAGUUUUUAGACAGCUUAUAUAGUUCAGA